This 255-nucleotide ribosomal RNA is filed under the name uncultured bacterium. Its description in RNAcentral is "partial 16S ribosomal RNA". It matches the Rfam family "Bacterial small subunit ribosomal RNA", at positions 524 to 777 of the family's 1533-position model. The record is from RNAcentral.
UACGAAGGGGGCUAGCGUUGCUCGGAAUCACUGGGCGUAAAGCGCACGUAGGCGGGUUCUUAAGUCAGGGGUGAAAUCCUGGAGCUCAACUCCAGAACUGCCUUUGAUACUGGGAAUCUCGAGUCCGGGAGAGGUGAGUGGAACUGCGAGUGUAGAGGUGAAAUUCGUAGAUAUUCGCAAGAACACCAGUGGCGAAGGCGGCUCACUGGCCCGGUACUGACGCUGAGGUGCGAAAGCGUGGGGGAGCAAACAGGG